This 445-nucleotide ribosomal RNA is filed under the name uncultured Opitutia bacterium. Its description in RNAcentral is "bacterial SSU rRNA". It matches the Rfam family "Bacterial small subunit ribosomal RNA", at positions 9 to 435 of the family's 1533-position model. Lineage: Bacteria; Pseudomonadati; Verrucomicrobiota; Opitutia. The record is from RNAcentral.
GAGUUUGAUCCUGGCUCAGAAUGAACGCUGGCGGCGUGGUUAAGACAUGCAAGUCGAACGGUUUUUUCGGUGUAGCAAUACAUCGGAAAAGCAGUGGCGAACGGGUGCGUAACACGUGAACAAUCUACCUCGAAAUGGGGAAUAGCUCGCCGAAAGGCGAAUUAAUACCGCAUGUGGUCAGGGCUCGCAUGAGUCUUGAACUAAAGUCAGGGACCGCAAGGCCUGACGUUUUGAGAGGAGUUCGCGGCCUAUCAGCUAGUUGGCGAGGUAACGGCUCACCAAGGCUAAGACGGGUAGCUGGUCUGAGAGGAUGAUCAGCCACACUGGAACUGAAACACGGUCCAGACUCCUACGGGAGGCAGCAGUGGGGAAUAUUGGACAAUGGGCGAAAGCCUGAUCCAGCGACGCCGCGUGAGUGAUGAAGGCCUUCGGGUUGUAAGCUCUG